UCAGCAGUCAAGAAUAUUAGUCAAUGCUCGAAAGAGUGAACUAGCUAACUGAAAUCAAUAAUAAAAUUGAUAACAUAAGGGAAAACAUGAUAUUACCUUAUUAUUAGUGUCGUCCAAAACUGGUGCCAGAAGACUCGGUAAGGCCAGAGACACAAACGUUAAUCGUCUUAAUCAGGCGUAAAGGGUUUGUAGGCGGCUUUAAAAUUUAUUUAUAAACAAAAAAAUAAUAAAUAAAGAAUAAAAGCUAGAAUCAAAUAGAGGAUAUAUUAAAUAAUGCUUAGAGUAGGUCUGAUAUCCUUAGAUACUAAGUAGAAUAUUAAAGGCGAAAGCUUUUUUCCAUUAAUGAUUGACGCUCAGAAACGAAGGUGAGGAUAGGAAAUAGGAUUAGAUACCCAAAUACCCCUCUCUGUCAACGAUGAAUGGUAGUUAUUAGUAAAAAUUUUAUUAAUGGCAAUGUUAACACGAUAACCAUUCCGCCUUGUGAGUACAACUGCAAAGUUGAAAACAAAAAAAUUAGUCGGUUUCGGAGCAAACGAAGUGAAGCAUGUUAUUUAAUUCGAUAAUCCGCAAAAAUGAAA
This 578-nucleotide ribosomal RNA is filed under the name Russula sp. Its description in RNAcentral is "SSU rRNA". It matches the Rfam family "Bacterial small subunit ribosomal RNA", at positions 348 to 972 of the family's 1533-position model. Lineage: Eukaryota; Fungi; Basidiomycota; Agaricomycetes; Russulales; Russulaceae. The record is from RNAcentral.